Molecule: RNA transcript, 4237 nt
Organism: Synchiropus splendidus (mandarinfish)
Lineage: Eukaryota; Metazoa; Chordata; Actinopteri; Syngnathiformes; Callionymidae
Gene: usp45
Gene name: ubiquitin specific peptidase 45
Exons: 19
Source: RefSeq, a predicted model, not a curated record
GAACGCACCUUCGCAGCGCUUCCGAGUGCGUCACAUGUUGACCACUGAUGCUAGCUCAUGCUAACAGAAGCUUGACAACAUACAGGAACAUGCCUGAGUAGAAGUGUUGUCGACUUGGGUUUCGGUUUCUCAGGUUCAUAAGAAUAAGCUGCAUUCUUUGCUACCGAGCUCAUGUAGUUAACCUGUUUACGAGACAGGGGGUGUUGGCUUCUAGUUUGCUGACACAGUCAACAUAAGGAACCAAAAUAAAGAGAGUCCCAGAUGCGGCUUAAGGACCCUUUCUCCUUGACAGCUGCCAACAUGACUAAGCGGACUAACAAACCGCGGAAACCUCGAGAUGAAGAAUCAUCGGAUGAAGUCAGUGGUUUGACCUGCCAGCAUGUGAGUAAAGCAGUGGACCUGAGCUCAGUGAAGAAGUCCAUCUUAUCCACUGUGUGGUUGGUUUGCUCCGAGUGCAUGAAGGAAAGGACGAUGAUUGGUGGGGAACCUGCAGCCUCCAAUGACAUCAUGGUUUGUCUCAAGUGUGGUUUCCAGGGAUGUACCCGUUCAGGAAUCCAUCAUGCUGCCAAGCACCACCAAGCCUUCCAUCCAGAGUCCCACUGCAUCACCAUCAGUUUGACCACCUGGAAAGCCUGGUGUUUUGAAUGUAACGAGGAGCUCUCCACUCACUGCAACAAAAAGGCCUUGGCUCAGACCCUGGAUUUUCUACAAAAGCAUUCUGCCAAGGCAACUUCAGCAUCGCCCAAGAAUGUCAAGCUGUGGGAAGAGUCCUCUGAUUAUGCCGAACCAACGCGAAGCAAAGGUUCGGUGAGCAAUAGCACCCUGGUUCCUGUCAAAGGAAUUAAUAAUCUUGGCAACACCUGCUUCUUCAAUGCUGUAAUGCAGAACCUCUCUCAGACACACAUGCUCAUCGAUCUGAUCCAGGACGUGAAGGAGAAAGGACACAAGUUGAGGAUCUGCCCACCUGGUGACACUACUCUGAGCCCAUUGACGGUCACUCUCCCAGGUCCUGAGCCCCUCACAGCCGCCAUGUUUCUCUUCCUUCAGAGCAUGAAGGAGCCUGGGAAAGGGCCGGUUAACCCCAAAAUCCUCUUCAAUCAACUCUGCCAGAAAGCGCCACGUUUCAAAGGCUACCAACAGCAGGACAGCCAGGAGCUUCUUCACUACUUGCUGGACUCUAUUCGUGUAGAGGAAACCAAAAGAGUGAAGGCAGGCAUCCUGAAGGCUUUCAAUAAUCCCACAGAGAAGACGGCAGAUGACGAGACCAGACGUCAAGUCAAAGCCUAUGGAAAGGAAGGUGUGAAGAUGAACUUCGUUGAUCGCAUCUUUGUGGGCGAGCUGACCAACACCAUUAUGUGUGAAGAAUGUGAGCAUAUCUCGACAGUGAAGGAGGCCUUCAUUGACAUCUCCCUACCCAUAAUUGAGGAGAGGAUAUCUAAACCAUCCAAUCCUGGCCGGCAAGGGAAGGGCAGCCGAGAACAGGAAGGCCACCUGCCCCACAGUGAACAGCUUCUUUCUGCCUCCCACUCAGCCAACAGAUACAACAGGAAGCUGAGUACACAGAAACAACCAGGUAGAAGGUCAUCCAGCUCGAUGGAAGAGAAGGGGGCCAUCUGUGGAGCUGAGCGACCAGAAGAUGAAAAUGUGGCCGGAGGAUCUCGGACUUCUGUGUCCAAAAUGGCUGCUGUUGGAAGCCUGUCAGAUGGUAGUGAAAGAGACUCUGGUCCUCAGGACAGCAGCAAUGAUGCAGACAGUGAGGCCUCCGAGAGCGAGUGGACCCCACGUGCAUCUUCCAGCCUGGCCCACCAUCAAUCGUCAUCCACUCAAGUGGGCUCUCCCACAUCUACCUCCUCCUCGUCAUCCUUCUCCCGGCAAGGUGGCGCCAUGAACCAUCUAGUUUCCGCGGUGUCUAAAGUGAGCAUCGGGCUCAGUUCGGGAGACUGCUCUUCUUCGUCUCAGUGUUCUCCCGACGAUCCCAGGGACUCUCGAGAUAAUCUCCACCAUCAACACUACCAGGGGGCUUUCCAGGCACUGUCCCACAGUUACACACCCAGUUCUAAGGAGUGCUCCAUUCAGUCGUGCCUGCACCAGUUCACAUCUGUGGAGCUGCUGAUGGGCAAUAACAAGCUGCUGUGUGAGAGCUGCACCGAACGCCGCCAGAAACAGCUGCGGAAGAGCAGCUCCGCAGAUAAGAAGGGUGAAAAGAUUUACACCAGCGCCAGAAAGCAGAUGUUGAUCUCCUCACUACCACCUGUCAUCACUUUACAUUUGAAACGAUUCCACCAGGCAGGAAUGAAUCUUCGAAAGGUGAACCGCCAUGUUGACUUCCCUUUGGUGCUGGAUCUGGCGCCCUUCUGUUCAGCGUCCUGCAAGAACCUGGCUGCUGGUGAGCGUGUCCUCUAUAGUCUGUAUGGGAUUGUGGAGCACAGUGGGUCAAUGCGGGGCGGCCACUAUACUGCUUAUGUCAAAGUCCGCACACCACAGAGGAAACCGGAGCAGCAUCACAAGAAACUGUCAGGAGCCAGAGACCCCAGCAGCUCCUCGGACCAGUGGGUCUACAUCAGCGACACCACGGUCCAGACAGUUCCAGAGUCGAGGGUGCUCAACUCUCAGGCAUACCUGCUGUUCUACGAGGAAAUGCUUUAACGUCUUGGCGGUGCUAUGAUGACUUCCUUAUCAGGCUGCAGCUUUUGAGGCGUCACCAGAUGAGCUUUUUUAUAUAUAUAAAAGGAAGGCCUUUUGGUCAUUUACGUAUGAAAUGUGACAAGUCCGUAUCCAGUGUAUAAAAGAUGAACAUUAAAGAAUCAGACAUUUUCACUGCAGUGCUGACACACAGCGAGAGUUACUACAGCUGCUGUUCUAUGUUUAUCAAUCUCUGAUUCUGUCAGAGUGAAAGUGCAUGCAGUGGGAUAGCUAGGACUUAUUGCAUGUUAGCUGGUGUUCAGCACUGAGAUUCUGAUGUCAAGUGUGGGUGUGUGAAUGUAAUGCAUACAUUUGUGUGUGACCGGGGAAUGUAUUCCAUAAUGUGAGAGGACUGGCUCUUAGUCAGGGUAGAACUGAUGAUCAGCAUUACGUAUCUUCAUGAAGAAAAGGGCUCGAGAACUUCACUCUGGUUUCAUCGUUCUUUUAGGAAAGGCUUUGCAUGAGACCGUAGACUCAAGAGGAUUUAGUGGUCAGGGCAAGGAGGUUGCUGGUUUGAACCUACCCUGGUCUACAUUUGUUAUUCAGCGCCUCGUGUCAAGGCACCCAACUGUCCGCUCAUAGUCAUAAAACAUGCAUUCAGGUGACUCUAAAUUGUGUAUAACAGUCCAUGUGCGUAUGAAUGGUGGUCAGCUUCCAUGUGUCCAGGGUGUGUCCAGCUUGGACAGUAAAGCGGUCAACCAGUCUGAGUUGCCUUCUGUAAGGCAAAACGCAACUUCAGCACAAUCUGUUUUUAUAUUCUCAGCAGAGUGUAAUCAAGUAUUUUACUGUGUAUUACAUUGUUGCCAAGUAUUCUGGCAAAAAUCAUGUUUAUGUGUUCCCGUCAAGGUAUCGCUGAAUGUGCUGGAGGUUCGCUCAUCAAAUGACCUUGUUUGCCUUCGAACUCAUCAUCUGCCGUCAUCUGCAUGGGAUUAUCAGUUUUGAAUGUAUCGCCAGUUUUGGAUGAUUGUGGUAUUCGAUAGAAAACUAUUUUGGAAAAUAAUGUUUAUUGCUGAGUCGGUGCAAGCAAAAGUGUUAAAAAGACUGCUGUUUUAAAAACGGACAAAUUCAGUGCCUAUGCUUCUUGUUUUCAGAAUCAAGUGUGAAGAUGUGCAGCAGACUAGCUUGGUGUGCCGGGAGCAGAAAUAAUGAGCGCGUGCUUGACGCAUGCAGCGAGACGUUGCGGACAGACACUGCGGACUGUCGCUGCGCGUCCCGUGGCGUCGCACUCAACCUGUCUUUCAACCGUGAUGCGCCGUGACGGGUGUAAAGCAGCACUGUUCCAGAACAUGUCGCAAGCUGGUGAAGAGGAGGUGGGUGUGGAAUCAGGAAAAGGGCAACGUCCAAAACCAUCGGCUUGCGCGCCCUCUUCUUACCACAAGCUGUGACAUCCGAGUCAGAACGCCGGAACGUUAAAACCGGUUGUCAGGCCGCCACCAACACGCCAGCAAAUCUUUUCUGAAAUGUACUUCUCUAUUUUUAACGCGAGAAGCGGGGUGGCGUUUGGCUCGGGGACAUGCAGCUGUACCAUUCGACGUGAUUUAAUCUCAUUUAAUGA